UACGGAGGGUGCGAGCGUUAUCCGGAAUUACUGGGUUUAAAGGGUGCGUAGGCGGCUUUGUAAGUCAGGAGUGAAAGUUUGCAGCUCAACUGUAAAAUUGCUUCUGAUACUGCAGAGCUGGAAUCAGGAUGAGGUCAGCGGAAUGUGGCAUGUAGCGGUGAAAUGCAUAGAUAUGCCAUAGAGCACCAAUUGCGAAGGCAGCUGGCUAGACCUGUAUUGACGCUGAGGCACGAAAGCGUGGGGAGCGAACAGG
This 253-nucleotide ribosomal RNA is filed under the name uncultured bacterium. RNAcentral describes it as "partial 16S ribosomal RNA". It matches the Rfam family "Bacterial small subunit ribosomal RNA", at positions 524 to 776 of the family's 1533-position model. The record is from RNAcentral.